GGAGAGGUGCUCGAGUGGUUGAAGAGGUACGCCUGGAAAGCGUAUAUACGGUGUGGAAUCGUAUCGAGAGUUCGAAUCUCUUCCUCUCCGCAA
Molecule: transfer RNA, 93 nt
Filed under: Paludibacter sp. 47-17
Lineage: Bacteria; Pseudomonadati; Bacteroidota; Bacteroidia; Bacteroidales; Paludibacteraceae
Also listed under: 1 other name
Description: tRNA-Ser
Rfam family: tRNA
About the family: Transfer RNA (tRNA) molecules are approximately 80 nucleotides in length. Their secondary structure includes four short double-helical elements and three loops (D, anti-codon, and T loops).
Source: RNAcentral